CCCAGUGACAGCAGUUAGCUCCUCCCACUAGGCUCAAGUAUAUAAGAGCCGUGAACAUCUGGCUUAAUUUUCUGUUCACGUGAACAGCGUGCGAGAACCUUCACUUCCCUCUUCACAUCAUCACCUCCAACAGGAUUUUGUUGAGUAUUUAGGCGGUGUGCAGGUUUAUGUACGCAAUGUUGGCGUACAUGCGGCUCAUCAUCUACUCUACCCUCCACAUCCCUGCUGUACGUGCGCACGUAUGCGCCAGGUGGAUAAAAAAAGCAUAGGAAAUAAAAACUAUUACAACGUUUCUUGUAGGAGAAACGUCGUGUAAAGGUCUCUUUCGCAGUGUUGUUAUCCAUCACUUGUGGGUUGGCAGCCACGCUCGCUCCACUACGUACCCACCCGCCCGUCGAGCACAAUACCUUUACCGCUGGCUAGGUUGUUGGUUCCCUUGUAUGCGCAACACCAAGCACUCUAUUCUUAGCCUCGAAAUGCCAAGAGUUGAUCUUGGAAGAGAACGACUACCCCCUCCUUCUUACAACGAUCCCUCCGGUAAUAACUAAUUCCCCCAACCAACUUCGCCAACCACUCACACUCAAUAUUUUAAGGCAGAAAUAGGAUCUUAUCGGUCGACCUUUCAAAAAGGUGAAGGUCUCUAGAUCACCUAAAAAACUCUUAUCAAACCUGAAUAAAUACCACCACCUAGCCCUGCAUGACUCGAAUUUAGUGUUUCCCUGUGGUAAUAAUUAUCCAUGAAACAAAAAACGUGUUGCGAGGUGAUUUACCAAAAUUACGCUCCCAUAAUGCUACGGGUGCGCCAUGGUAUUGGUAUAGACACUUUGUUGGUGUGGUCCCAUCCCUACAUAAUGUUUUAAUUAUACACUCAUUUUAUAUACGUAUAAUAUACCUCUGCAUUAUCCUGA
Molecule: non-coding RNA, 908 nt
Organism: Cherax quadricarinatus
Lineage: Eukaryota; Metazoa; Arthropoda; Malacostraca; Decapoda; Parastacidae
Source: RefSeq, a predicted model, not a curated record